GUGGGGAAUUUUGGACAAUGGGCGCAAGCCUGAUCCAGCAAUGCCGCGUGCAGGAAGAAGGCCUUCGGGUUGUAAACUGCUUUUGUCAGGGAAGAAAUCUUCUGGGCUAAUACCCCGGGAGGAUGACGGUACCUGAAGAAUAAGCACCGGCUAACUACGUGCCAGCAGCCGCGGUAAUACGUAGGGUGCGAGCGUUAAUCGGAAUUACUGGGCGUAAAGCGUGCGCAGGCGGCUUUGCAAGACAGAUGUGAAAUCCCCGGGCUCAACCUGGGAACUGCAUUUGUGACUGCAAGGCUAGAGUACGGCAGAGGGGGAUGGAAUUCCGCGUGUAGCAGUGAAAUGCGUAGAUAUGCGGAGGAACACCAAUGGCGAAGGCAAUCCCCUGGGCCUGUACUGACGCUCAUGCACGAAAGCGUGGGGAGCAAACAGGAUUAGAAACCCUGGUAGUCC
This 450-nucleotide ribosomal RNA is filed under the name uncultured bacterium. RNAcentral's name for it is "partial 16S ribosomal RNA". It matches the Rfam family "Bacterial small subunit ribosomal RNA", at positions 354 to 796 of the family's 1533-position model. The record is from RNAcentral.